UUGCAGUAAAAGCUCGUAGUUGGAUUUCUGGGAGGGUGCCAAUGUCCGCCGACGUGCGUGCGCAGCGGCGCCCUUCCAUCCUUCUGUUAACGCCUCUUGGCAUUCAUUUGCUGGUGGUGGGCUCAGAUAUUUUACCUUGAGAAAAUUAGAGUGUUACAGGCAGGCUAGGCCGGAAUACAUUAGCAUGGAAUAAUGGAAUAGGACUACGGUCUCUUUGUUGGUUUGAGGGACUGCAGUAAUGAUUAAUAGGGGUAGUUGGGGGCAUUAGUAUUUAAUUGUCAGAGGUGGAAUUCUCGGAUUUCGUUAAAGACUAACUUAUGCGAAAGC
RNAcentral lists this ribosomal RNA (327 nucleotides) under uncultured marine eukaryote. Its description in RNAcentral is "SSU rRNA". It matches the Rfam family "Eukaryotic small subunit ribosomal RNA", at positions 622 to 952 of the family's 1831-position model. The record is from RNAcentral.